RNAcentral lists this ribosomal RNA (446 nucleotides) under uncultured bacterium. Its description in RNAcentral is "bacterial SSU rRNA". It matches the Rfam family "Bacterial small subunit ribosomal RNA", at positions 70 to 507 of the family's 1533-position model. The record is from RNAcentral.
GGAAUCUAGUGACACUAUGUACUAACUUCCAGCAACUAAACUCUAAGCGAUCUAGAUUGUUAGUGGCGGACGGGUGAGUAACACGUUGGAACCUACCCCGAAGUGAGGAAUGACUGCCCGAAAGGGUAGCUAAUACCUCAUAGUCUCCGGUUUAUUCGGAGUAAAGAUUUAUCGCUUCGGGAGGGGCCUGCGUCCGAUUAGCUAGUUGGUGAGGUAAAUGCUCACCAAGGCGACGAUCGGUAGCUGGUUUGAGAGGAUGACCAGUCACACUGGGACUGAGAUACGGCCCAGACUCCUACGGGAGGCAGCAGUAAGGAAUCUUCCACAAUGGGGGCAACCCUGAUGGAGCAAUACCGCGUGCAGGAUGAAGCGUUUCGGCGUGUAAACUGCUUUUAUCUGUGAUGAUUAUGACAGUAGCAGAAGAAUAAGGAUCGGCUAACUACGUG